Molecule: long non-coding RNA, 344 nt
Filed under: Brachypodium distachyon (stiff brome)
Lineage: Eukaryota; Viridiplantae; Streptophyta; Magnoliopsida; Poales; Poaceae
Description: long non-coding RNA (BDIS_LNC001981)
Source: RNAcentral
AACACAUAAAAGAAAAUACUGACCAAGCAAUUCUAGUUGAUUCUCAAAACAAAACCUAGCAAUUCUAGCAAAAAAAAAAAGCCCAACGUGUGGGCCUUAGCAAAAUCCAACCCCCUGACUGGCCCCUUGCUGGCUUGUGUGGUCUUCUUUCUUUGUGUGGGCUUAUUGUUUAUGAGUGGAUAAAUAAAUGAAAAGAAAAAAUCAAUGGUGUUCUCGGAACAAAAGGAGCAGAUCGCUACUUGUAUCUAAUGAAACUGAGAAAUAGCAAAACCCAACAGUUAUAUUCCAUUUGUCUCUAACGAAACCUCAUCCCUGAUACUUUCUGUUAACAUACAGCGCCCCAA